This 835-nucleotide ribosomal RNA is filed under the name uncultured bacterium. RNAcentral describes it as "bacterial SSU rRNA". It matches the Rfam family "Bacterial small subunit ribosomal RNA", at positions 62 to 900 of the family's 1533-position model. The record is from RNAcentral.
UCGACGGGAUUGAGAGCUUGCUCUCAUGAGAGUGGCGCACGGGUGAGUAACGCGUAUGCAACCUACCUUUAACUGAGGGAUAGCCCAUAGAAAUGUGGAUUAAUACCUCAUAGUUCUUUUGAACCGCAUGGUUCGAAAGAUAAAGCUCCGGCGGUUAAAGAUGGGCAUGCGUGACAUUAGCUAGUUGGUGAGGUAACGGCUCACCAAGGCUACGAUGUCUAGGGGUUCUGAGAGGAUGAUCCCCCACACUGGUACUGAGACACGGACCAGACUCCUACGGGAGGCAGCAGUGAGGAAUAUUGGUCAAUGGGCGCAAGCCUGAACCAGCCAUCCCGCGUGAAGGAUGAAGGCCCUAUGGGUCGUAAACUUCUUUUAUACACCAAGAAAAAGCAGGACGUGUCCUGCCCCGACGGUAGUGUAUGAAUAAGCAUCGGCUAACUCCGUGCCAGCAGCCGCGGUAAUACGGAGGAUGCAAGCGUUAUCCGGAUUCAUUGGGUUUAAAGGGUGCGUAGGCGGCUUUUUAAGUCAGUGGUGAAAUCUUGCCGCUUAACGGUAAAAUUGCCAUUGAUACUGAUAAGCUUGAGUACAAUUGAGGUAAGCGGAAUGUGUAGUGUAGCGGUGAAAUGCUUAGAUAUUACACAGAACACCGAUUGCGAAGGCAGCUUACUAAACUGUUACUGACGCUGAUGCACGAAAGCGUGGGGAGCGAACAGGAUUAGAUACCCUGGUAGUCCACGCCGUANACGAUGAUCACUCGCUGUAUGCGAUNCACAGUAUGCGGCCAAGCGAAAGCAUUAAGUGAUCCACCUGGGGAGUACGAUCGCAAGGUUGAAAC